This 371-nucleotide ribosomal RNA is filed under the name uncultured organism. RNAcentral's name for it is "partial 16S ribosomal RNA". It matches the Rfam family "Bacterial small subunit ribosomal RNA", at positions 527 to 896 of the family's 1533-position model. The record is from RNAcentral.
GUAAGUGGCAAGCGUUGUCCGGAAUUAUUGGGCGUAAAGCGCGCGCAGGCGGUUCUUUAAGUCUGAUGUGAAAGCCCACGGCUCAACCGUGGAGGGUCAUUGGAAACUGGAGAACUUGAGUACAGAAGAGGAAAGCGGAUUCCACGUGUAGCGGUGAAAUGCGUAGAGAUGUGGAGGAACACCAGUGGCGAAGGCGGCUUUCUGGUCUGUAACUGACGCUGAGGCGCGAAAGCGUGGGGAGCAAACAGGAUUAGAUACCCUGGUAGUCCACGCCGUAAACGAUGAGUGCUAAGUGUUAGGGGGUUUCCGCCCCCCUUAGUGCUGCAGCUAACGCAUUAAGCACUCCGCCUGGGAGUACGGCCGCAAGGCUG